This 215-nucleotide unclassified non-coding RNA is filed under the name Hevea brasiliensis (rubber tree). Lineage: Eukaryota; Viridiplantae; Streptophyta; Magnoliopsida; Malpighiales; Euphorbiaceae. The record is from RNAcentral.
GGGAAAUAAUCACUAGAGGCGCCUUUUGGUGGAAUGGCCUGGAGAGUUGGAAGAACUCCAGGGUUAAACGUGCUCGUUUGAGAGAAAUCCUAGGAUGGGUGACCUCCUGGGAAGUUCUCCAUUCCACCUAUGGGACAAAACCGCGACGCUUAUGGCCAAAGCGGACAAUUCCUCUAGUGGCUGGUUUCCGACCGUUACAAUUGGUAUCAGAGCCG